CCAGCCUGGGCGAUAGAGUGAAAGAGACUCUGUCAAAAAACAAAAACAAAAACAAAAAUUAUACUGACCGGAGUCAACCAAUCAGAACAUUUUUCAAAAAAUUAUGGUUUCACCUUUUGGGCAGGAUGUAAUAGAUUAUUGUUCCCACUGCCACAGUCAGACAAACCCAUACAAAUUAUUCAAAAAGCCACAAUUUUGAAGCAUCAGAGAUCUUUGGAAGCAAUGAGAACUGGAACAACUAAAGCUACAGAGAGAGAAAACCAUUUCAAGGUGAUCUGAUGAACAUGUUAUUUUUUUUUCCUCAUUGGGAGCAUUUGACAAAUUCAGAUGUGGGAUAAAAAUUGCCUUAUCUAAGACAUAGGGCACCUGCAGAAGUAAAGAGAGACAGGCAAAGCUUUUGGCAGUCACACAGACUUAAAGUUACCCAUUAGAAAACUUAGAAGACUUCAAAGGCAUGGCCACAUGGGACAUUUACCUAGUUUUGGGUGUGUAAGAAAGCCUCAUGAACUAGAUAGAAAUCUUUAAAGCAUAAAAUUUUACACAUGGUGCUAAGAAAGACCCAUAAGAGCAGAGGGUCUGCCUUAAGACACUUCCCAAAUUUAGAAUUUGUGUGGAAAGUAAGGCUAAAGAGCUACACUGACAAUCUGUGAAGGGAAGGACUGAAUCUCCCACCAUUUUCAGGACUAAUGCUCUCAAUCACAAAGCCAUACCUGGCAAACAGAAGAAAUCUUAAGAGCCAUGCCUGGCAAACAGAAGAAAAUCAAAGGAAUGAAAUCAUGUUAUCAAUGUAUACAAACAUGUAAAGUUACCUUCCUUUCUUUAUUGCAUCAGCAUCUGUAACUUGUUCAUCUAAGGAUGGUUUAUGUAGUAAAAUUAUAAGCUAAAAAUAAGAGAGACCUCCAUGCAAUCUAGUUUAGAACCUUCAAAAGCAUUCUAUAAUUUGUCAGAUAGUUUUACCCAACCCUUAUUUUUAUGGUAGUAUUUUUAUGGUAGAACUGGGUUUUACAACUGAAACCCAGCCCAGGCUUAGUUCAAUUCCUGAUUAUAUUGAAGUAAUUAAUGACUGACCCUUUCCCUUUCUGCCUAGCAGAUCAAAGGGGACCACUCUUGGUAUUGAAGUUCAUCUCAUUGGGAGCAUCUGUGGUUCUUUUAUAUACAAUGUACAUUCUACAAUAGAGGCAGACCCAGAAAUAAUUCAGAUAUUGGAGUUAGAAGAUCAGGAUUCUAAAAUAAGUAUAAUUAAUAUUUUCAAGAAAACAAAGGAAAAGGUGGACAGAAGAGAUUAAAGUGUGGAUAAAUUUAGUAAGCAAUUUGAAUCUUUUUAAAAACAGCAUUAAACAGAUAUUCUGGAAAUAAAAUGUACAAUGUUUGAAAUUAGGAACUCGUUAAAUGGACUUAGCAACAGUUAAGGUGUUUUUGAUUCAACUAUUUUGCUGUCUCCAAACUGAGGUACAGAGAGGGAAAAAAGUAAAAAGGAACAAAAAACUGUAAGAGGCAUGCAGAACAUGUCAAAAAGCCUAACAUAUAUAUGAUUGGCAUUUUAGAAAAAGCAAAAAGAGGAAAUGGCCCAGAUGCAAUAUUGGAAAACAUAAUGACUGAGGAUUUUCAAAAGCUAGUGACGAUCACAUAGAUUUACAAAGCUUAAUGAAACCCAAGCAAGAUAAAUACAAACCAAAGCAUAUCCAAGCACAUGAUGGCCAAACAGCUGAAAAACCAAGAGCAGAGAGAACAUCUCAAUAGCAUCCAGAGAAAAAAAGACAAGUGUUCUCAAAACAGCAACCGUAAAACUUAUAACUGACUUCUCAAUAGAAAUGAUGGAAGUCAAGAGAAAAUGAAACAAGGAAACAGAGGAUAUAGUUAAAGUACUGAAAGAAGGAAAUACAAAACAUAAUUCUAGACCCAGUGAAAAGACACAUUAAACUGAAAGAAAAAUAUAUUUCAGGAAAAGAAAUAGUAGAAUUUGUCAUGACCAAGCAUGCCGUACAGGAAAGACCAAAAAACGUUCUUUAGGAAAAAAAUCACUCCAGAAGAAAACAUGAAAAUGUAGGAAAGAAUAAAAAACACUGGAAAAGAUAACUAUGUGGGCAAAUAUUAAAUUCAUAUUGAUUCUUCAAAACAAUAAUUGCAAUAUUUUGUCAUUUCAAAUACAGUUGACCCUUGAACAACACAGGUUUGAACUGUGAAAAUUCACUUAUACAUGGAUUUUCUUCUGCCUCUGCCACUCUUGAGACAGCAAGACCAACCCUUUCGCUUCCUCUUCUUCCUUAAUCUAUUCAGUGCAAAGGUGAUGAGGAUGAAGAACUUCAUGAUGAUCCACUUACACUUAAUCAAUGAAAACCAAAAGAACCUGCCUUACUAUGCACCUAUGGCCCAUCAAAGGCGAGAGUAGAAUCUGCCAUGAUUUAGAAGCAAACAAGAAAAAGUACACGUCAGUUUGCAGGAGAAUUGGAGAAACGAAGCAACACAGCGAUGGAAGUGAGACUACUGAAGGUAAGCUUGGGAGGGGGUCCUCGACACCACCAUAUCAGCGGAUCCACAGCUAAGUGAUUGGUGGUGGCCUGGGGUGCUGCUCUUUAGCAGGGAUAAGAGUGGAGCACACAAGCUGGACUCGGAACAAACUGGGAGCAUCUGCAUCCAACCAUGACGGUCUGGCCGUGACAGUGGUUAGAGAGGAGUGGCUUCUGUGAAACUCUCACAGUCUCAAGUCUCCCACAAAUCCCUCUUUCAGCUAACUCUAAUCUUGUACCAUAGAGGAAAUGGAUUCUGAAAACUUGGUCUCCAACCUUAGACAAAUUGAAUAAUAUGUCCUCUCCUGCUUCUUCUGUAACUGAAUUUGCAUUGGAAAGCAGGCCUGUCACUCUCAGACUUUGUGGUUUGAGUAGGGCUCACUUCAGCACCACCUUUUCCUCCUCUUAGUGCCAGGGACUGGCAUGAGACUCGGGCCUGGCCAACUGAUUGUCACACACCUAUGACCAUCAGUUGGCUCAAAGAUGAACUCAGGACACCAUCACAGUCAAUGAGACCCUGUUAGGGAAAUUUGUCAGAACCAUACAAAGAAAUAGCUCCACUUUUCCAUAGAGAUGAGACAUAAGCCUGGACUAACUGGUGUCCAACUUUCCAUCAAGAGAGACUCUCUAAGAAGAUAGAGGAAAACUGGGGAAAGCGAAGUCUAAGGCAGGCAAGUAAGGGCAAGUCCAGUUGACAUCAUAUGAAUCACCUGAACCUAGAAAACAAGGCAUACCUGGAUUCAAGGCCAAGAAAAAUUGGCAGCUGGCUUGAAUCAGGUUCUAUCACUUGCAGUUGAAAAGGUCCAGACUAAUCCGAUAGAGUUAACAGAGGAGCAAGUAAGCAAGAUUCUCCCCUACAGUAAGUGCUCAAUGCAUGUCAACUGGUAUUAUUAUUAUACAGCCUUCCAUUUCUAGCCCUUUUAUUUCUACCACCUCUCUUCUGUGUUUUAUGUAAAGUGCAUUAAGGAUUGUUCUGUUUGGAGACAUCAAACCAUAUAAAAUGACACCAGUAGGUCCCUUUCUGUCAGUGUCCACAAGCUCAACAAUCAGGAUCAGCAGACAAAAACAGCUAAGCUGGAGUCAGCGUUUUUAUGAAGAAACAGGAAAAGAGCUUACUUAGGAAUUGUAGCUCAUCCUCCAAUAUUCUCCACUCUUUUCAUGACAGUGUCUUCUUGGCCCUGAAGAUGCCUCUUCAUGACUCCCUGCCUCUGUCCUUUCUUCAUCUCACUUACAUAUUCCAACAAGGAGUACAGCAAGCCUUGGAAUGAGGACCUCCAAAGGUCCUCAGUAUCCUUAGGACACUCUGAGUGCAGAACUGGAGGGACUGAGAGGAGGAGCUUUUGCAGGUUAAAUGACUAGUAAAUGGCCUUUCUUUAUAUUUCCACUAGAAAUGAGAUUAGCUACACUUGAGAAGGAAUGACUUUGGAACAACUGAUCCCUAGCUUUCUUUGAGAUGCAGGGAGUAGUAACCACCUAGUUAAUCAGUGAAAGCAUAUUUAUAAAGUUCACAGGGUACCUAGCAUAUAGCAGCUGUUCUCUAUCUCAAUUGAGUUUUGACUAGGAAAUGGGCUUAGGAUAAAACACAUGGGCUUUCGAGUAAUCAUUUGUAAGUAAUUGUAGAUAGUGACCACAGUUUAAUAGCAUAGAUAUAUUAUGAAAAGUCACUGAAAUACCUUCUCUGGAAAAUGUUAGAAACUCAAGUAGAAUGGCUUAGUUAAAGGCGAGAGGGGGAGAAACUUGAAAAAUGCGGUCCAGUACAAGAAUACCCCAUUUCCCCCCCAAGGUAAUGAAUCCCUUUUCAUGCAUCUAGUGACAUGAAGUAAUAAUAGUUAUUUAUACAGGAACAAUUUAGGAGACUUAGAAUAUUCACUUCUUUUGCCUUCUAGCUAAGCAUCAAGAUUCUCUCUGUGUCUCUGUCUCUCUCUCUCUCUCUCUCCAUUUUCCACUUCUAGCUCCAACUAUUUUAAAUCCCUCCCCCAAUAGAGCCCAUAACAAACAUAAAACAACAUUUGUUUUAUGUUUACAGUAGAUGUUCAAGCUAAUAUUUGUGUAGGUAUAGCCCCAGCAUUAAAUUAAGGUUUGGUUCACCAACAGGGUGCCUAGAGACUUCACCUCUAUUUCCAUGAGGGACCAAACAGCCUCUUGAGAAGGGACUCAUCAAAAUGGAAGAGUUGGCAAUAAGAAGUUUGGCUCAAUAACUAAGCACAGAAGUUGCAGAGGAGAAAGGAUUUGUAGGGCAGUACAACGUUCAGGGGCAAGUUGGCAGUUUUUAGCAAGAGCUGAAGUGAUGCCAGCAGAGGUAACACUGCUCAGAGGGACCAGUGGUCCCCAGGAGGAGCAGGGGAAUCCCCAGUGGAUCUGAUUUGUUUGAGAGCACCUGUGAGAUUAUCAGCUGGCGUUACAAUUUUGGAGUGGCAGUGAGAAGCAGUGAAUUUGAGGUCACUCAAUUUGCAGACCCCAAUGGGUGAAAUGUUGAGAAACAUAGGUUACAUAUGUAUUUGACAACUCUUGUGUAUUAUCACAAAUCCUAUUUCACCUCUCAUGCCCCCGAGGCUUUGGUGUCCAGUUCCCUGAAGACUUCAUCAAUCCUCAGUCACAAAUCACCUGACAGCCACUCACCUUGCUCCAUACUAUGAAGCUCCCUGAUGUCACAACAUGGCAGGCCUGUGGCAACCCCUCAGCACUUAUGCAUGAUCCCAAACAGCUAGAGGAUUAACACCUACAGUGUAACCCUUGAGCAGCAGGAAAUGGAAAUUACUGUCUUUUUGUCCCCCCAGGGGAACAGUUCUAAAAUGCAUUUUAUAAAGCUUCUGAAAUAGUUCCACAGGUCAAGCACCUACUUGCUCCAGUGGUGACCAACUCAAUGGUGCAUCCUUGGGUUGACUCUCCCUCGUUUCCAGUUCACUUUCCCUGCCCUUCACUUCUGCACCUCAGCAUCACAUUCCUGAAUAAACCACUCACACAUCUUUCUUAUUUCAGACUCUGUUUGUGGGAAUCCACAAUACAAAUUUGUCAUUUUGAGUUAAACAUUGUUCUCACCUUGAAGACAUAUUUCCAUACCUAGAGAUUUCUGACGUUCUCUCCCUUUUCCUACCAUCUCCUUUGUGCUUUGUCUGACCUCCAUAUUCCAGAGCCCCAUGACAUUUAGAGCCAGUACUGCUAGGGAAAUAGUUCAGUUGUGUUUUAAAUGGUUCAGCAACUUGUAACAUCAACUGAGAACCAGGGGAAUACACUCGGAGGCCAAGAAAAAAAAUGUUAGUUAAUAUGUACCAUAGAGUAUGAUUCCUUGGGUAAGGGAAAGUUUAUGCAAGUGACAGAGGAAAAUUGAAAGUUGUAGCCCUUUUUUCAGAAUUUAUAUUUGGAAUUAAAGUUUCUCUUCUCUUGAAAGACCUUCUUUCUGUGAUGAAUCUGAAGCCCG
This is a non-coding RNA of Chlorocebus sabaeus (green monkey), 5925 nucleotides long. The record is from RefSeq and is a predicted model, not a curated record. NCBI's taxonomy places the organism in Eukaryota, Metazoa, Chordata, Mammalia, Primates, Cercopithecidae.